GAUGAAGAACGCAGCGAAAUGCGAUAAGUAGUGUGAAUUGCAGAAUUCAGUGAAUCAUCGAAUCUUUGAACGCACAUUGCGCCUUCUAGUAUUCUGGGAGGCAUGCCUGUUUGAGCGUCAUUAAACCUCUCUCAAGUAUGAUUACUUGGAUGUGAAGGAAGAGUACCUUAAACUUAAGGAGUGUUCUCCUUUGAAAUUGAUUAGCAGAUGGUAAUGUUAUUAAAUCCCUGAUGUUGUAAGAAAUAACAGUGGUUUUGUAGACUAUUAUCUAGCUUUAAAUGAUAAUUUUUAUUAUGGUUGACCUCAAAUCAGGUAAGGAUACCCGCUGAACUUAAGCAUAUCAAUAAGCGGAGGA
RNAcentral lists this unclassified non-coding RNA (355 nucleotides) under soil metagenome. Its description in RNAcentral is "partial contains 5.8S ribosomal RNA, internal transcribed spacer 2, and large subunit ribosomal RNA". The stretch from base 1 to 120 matches the Rfam family "5.8S ribosomal RNA", at positions 35 to 154 of the family's 154-position model. The record is from RNAcentral.